GAGAGACAUUCUUUGGAUCACAGUGUUAGUUCCACCCCCUCCCUUAAUACAGUGAGUUGCCAUGGUACCCAUUAACACUCAUGGGGAAAAAAAUCUGUGUUUGAAAGCUUCAGCUGUGGCUGACUGUAACUACUGACAAGUCACCAAAGUCAUCUCUGCCUAUUUCCUGUGAGCUUUGCCUAUUUCCAUAGAGCUGAUCCCUUCAUGCCUGUGCAGCAGCAUUUCCUCUGUGGGACAUUCAACUAAACUGUUAUCAUGAGACAGACAGGAAAUAGGACUUUCAUCCAAAUAGAAGAAUACAAAAACAGGUAAAGA
Molecule: long non-coding RNA, 315 nt
Organism: Sarcophilus harrisii (Tasmanian devil)
Lineage: Eukaryota; Metazoa; Chordata; Mammalia; Dasyuromorphia; Dasyuridae
Exons: 3
Source: RefSeq, a predicted model, not a curated record